This 606-nucleotide ribosomal RNA is filed under the name uncultured bacterium. RNAcentral's name for it is "bacterial SSU rRNA". The stretch from base 1 to 532 matches the Rfam family "Bacterial small subunit ribosomal RNA", at positions 338 to 873 of the family's 1533-position model. The record is from RNAcentral.
CCUACGGGAGGCAGCAGUAAGGAAUAUUGGUCAAUGGACGCAAGUCUGAACCAGCCAUGCCGCGUGCAGGAUGAAGGCCCUCUGGGUUGUAAACUGCUUUUAUAGGGGACGAAAAAGGGACUUUCUAGUUCAACUGACGGUACCCUAGGAAUAAGCACCGGCUAACUCCGUGCCAGCAGCCGCGGUAAUACGGAGGGUGCAAGCGUUAUCCGGAUUUACUGGGUUUAAAGGGUGCGUAGGUGGGUCGGUAAGUCAGCGGUGAAAUCUUCAAGCUUAACUUGGAAACUGCCAUUGAUACUAUCGAUCUUGAAUCAUCUGGAGGUAAGCGGAAUAUGUCAUGUAGCGGUGAAAUGCUUAGAUAUGACAUAGAACACCAAUUGCGAAGGCAGCUUACUACGGAUGUAUUGACACUGAGGCACGAAAGCGUGGGGAUCAAACAGGAUUAGAUACCCUGUAGUCCACGCCCUAAACGAUGGAUACUCGACAUACGUGAUAUACUACGUGUGUNUGAGNGAAGANAUAGUAUACCACCAGAGUAGAGNGNGAGAGUAGAACGACGAAGAAGUAGAGCGAGAGAGAGACGACGGACGACGACGAGGGAGGAGG